AGGGUUCGAUUCUGGCUCAGGAUGAACGCUGGCGGCGUGCUUAACACAUGCAAGUCGAACGGAGACUGUUUGUGAAGCGGAAGGGCUUGCCCGGAAGUGGAAUGAGCAGUCUUAGUGGCGGACGGGUGAGUAACGCGUGGGUAACCUACCUCAUACAGGGGGAUAGCAGUUGGAAACGACUGAUAAAACCGCAUAAAACGGCAGUAAGGCAUCUUACAACCGUCAAAUAUUUAUAGGUAUGAGAUGGGCCCGCGUCUGAUUAGAUAGUUGGUGGGGUAACGGCCUACCAAGUCAGCGAUCAGUAGCCGGCCUGAGAGGGUGAACGGCCACAUUGGGACUGAGACACGGCCCAAACUCCUACGGGAGGCAGCAGUGGGGAAUAUUGGACAAUGGGGGGAACCCUGAUCCCAGCGACGCCGCGUGAGUGAAGAAGUAUUUCGGUAUGUAAAGCUCUAUCAGCAGGGAAGAUGAUGACGGUACCUGACUAAGAAGCCCCGGCUAACUACGUGCCAGCCGCCGC
This 520-nucleotide ribosomal RNA is filed under the name uncultured bacterium. Its description in RNAcentral is "bacterial SSU rRNA". It matches the Rfam family "Bacterial small subunit ribosomal RNA", at positions 8 to 518 of the family's 1533-position model. The record is from RNAcentral.